RNA transcript from Eriocheir sinensis (Chinese mitten crab), 2508 nucleotides. It is a transcript of the gene named aldehyde dehydrogenase, dimeric NADP-preferring-like, with no coding region annotated. The record is from RefSeq and is a predicted model, not a curated record. The transcript is spliced from 15 exons. Lineage: Eukaryota; Metazoa; Arthropoda; Malacostraca; Decapoda; Varunidae.
GGCGGCGCGGCGGGCGAGGGCGGGCGGUGGCAGUGGCAGUGGGCCAGUGGCACAGUGCAGGGUGGGUAAGGCGACCCACGUUCAUCGCCUUUAUCUUGGUAUCUCCGCUGUCUCCUUGCCUCUUGCCCAGCACCGGCCAGGACGUGUGUGUAGGGCUGCCCGGCGUGCACCAAGGUUCACCAGAAGCAAAAUGUCACCUACAGGAGACAUGAAGCAGGCUGUCCAGCGUGCCCGGGAUGCCUUUAAGUGCGGCACAACUCUGAGCCUUGAGUUCAGGAAGAGGCAGCUGAAGGCCCUGAGGCGAAUGUAUGAGGAGAAUGAGGGAGCCUUGUGUGCAGCAUUGGCUAAAGACCUGAAGAAGCCCAAGCAGGAGGCCAUACUGCUGGAGAUAAACCUGCUAAAGGAUGACAUCAAUCACAUCCUGGCACGUAUUGAUGACUGGGUGAAGCCAGAAAAGAUCCCUACCAAUGUGCUGACCAUGUUUGACAAGCCAAUGGUGUACCACGACCCCUACGGUGUUGUGCUGGUGAUGGGUGCCUGGAACUACCCAGUACAGCUAGCCCUCCUCCCUGUCUCGGGAGCCAUAGCUGCUGGUAACUGUGUCAUCAUCAAGCCAUCGGAGGUCUCACCAGCCACAGCAGAAACCAUUGCUGCACUUAUUCCCAAGUACUUGGAUAAGGAGUGUUACCAUGUGGUGUGUGGAGGCAUACCAGAGACUACUGAGCUGCUCAAGGAACGCUUUGACUAUAUCUUCUACACCGGUUCACCAACUGUGGGCAAGAUAGUGAGGGAGGCGGCCAACAAGUAUCUGACCCCCACCACCCUCGAGCUGGGAGGGAAGAGUCCAGUGUAUAUCGAUGACAGUGUGGACAUGGAUAUGGCCGUCAAGCGCAUUCUAUGGGGGAAGUGCAUUAACCUAGGGCAGACCUGCAUUGCACCCGAUUAUGUUCUGUGCUCCAAGGCGGUGCAAGAAAAGUUUGUGGCCAAAGCCAAACAAAUCCUGGAUGAGUGGUACGGCCCCAACCCCAAGGCCUCCCCAGACCUCUGUAGGAUAGUGUCUGAGAAGCAUCUUGACCGCAUUGCUGAGUACCUGAAGGAAGGAACUGUGGCUGUUGGGGGAGAUGUGGACAGGGAGCAGCUGUACAUCGCACCGACCAUCCUCACUGACGUCUCCCCCAAGAACAAGGUGAUGAUGGAGGAGAUCUUUGGGCCCAUCUUGCCCAUUGUCAAUGUGGAGUCUGCUCAUGAUGCCAUCAGCUUCAUCAACUCAAGACAUGGGGAACCCCUCACGUGUUAUGUGUUCUCAACCUCAGUCAAGGAUCAGCAAGCCUUAAUCCAGGGUGUCCAGACAGGCUCCAUGUGUAUCAAUGAUUGUAUUGUCCAUUUCUCCAUCCAUGACUUGCCAUUUGGAGGUGUUGGCAACAGUGGCAUGGGCUCCUACCAUGGCAAGGCCUCCUUUGACACCUUCACCCACCGCAAGUCCUGCCUCAUUCGCAACUACAACAAGAUUGCAGAGACCAUUGGCAAGAUGAGGUACCCACCUUACAGUGAGACCAACAUGAAGAGACUCUCCAUUUUGCUCAAAGAGAUGAACUUCCCCAGCUUCAAGAUACUCUCCUAUGUUCUGGCAUUCGGACUUGGUGUCGCCUCUGUCUUCAUUGGCCGUGAGAUUGCCAAGGGUGCACUGCGAGGGUGGUUAAAUCGUACACUGGAUUCAGCCAUGGUACUAUUUUGGUCCAUCCAGAGAUAAAUCUUUAACAGCACAUUAACUUGCUCUUUCUCGCUUUAAUCAUGAAUUCAAGCUGUGGGUCAUGACGAUGAUUGAAGAUGAAGGUAUAAGACAACAGUGAAUGGUUUACAAAGCAGCAGAGAACCUUGCUGUCACCAUCAGGGAAAAAAGAGUGACUGUUUUGUGAAUGCAGUGAUAUUGUGUGUAUGUUGCCAGUUUUGUUGAAGCACAAUAAUAAAGAAAAAAUAUUUACUUGCUUACUUUAGUGUCAAGUUGUUAGAUAAUUGCAGCAGCAUUAUUCUUUAUUGCAUAAUGGGGCAUAGUUUUGUAGGUUAGUUUAUAUUUUUAAUCAUAUUUGCAUUGUGGUCAUUAAAGGUUGUAGUAUUCAGCUUAACUAUUUGUAUACGUAUCAAAUGGGGGUUACAAUAAAGGUUAUAUUAUUUAGUUUAGCUUAGUUUGUGUGUGGGGCAGGGGGGAUGCAUGGCUGCAUACAUGUGUGCAUGCAUGCACACACAACAUUGUAAGUGAGGCACCAGGGACCAGUCAUACUUAAAAGAUUAGGGACCUUCCACUCAUCCUUUUAAACUUUAAAGGGAUGAAUGGAAGAAGAUACCUCAAAAUGUUUGCAUUCAUGAUUUUUUAGUGCCCACUGUUUAGACAUGUUUGUAUGUUACUCAGAUUGAAUCUUAAUGAAUAGUUACCCUUGUAAGCUUAUGCAACUAUCUUUACUCUGUGCUCUAUUGUUAACUCUUUGAAUACAGAAGUUUAUCUUUCCAGCA